AGAGGUGUAGGGCAUGGGAA
RNAcentral lists this microRNA (20 nucleotides) under Pteropus alecto (black flying fox). Its description in RNAcentral is "pal-miR-202-3p". Its record names the gene pal-miR-202-3p. Lineage: Eukaryota; Metazoa; Chordata; Mammalia; Chiroptera; Pteropodidae. RNAcentral also lists the same sequence under 1 other name. The record is from miRBase by way of RNAcentral.